Molecule: unclassified non-coding RNA, 274 nt
Filed under: uncultured fungus
Lineage: Eukaryota; Fungi
Description: partial contains 5.8S ribosomal RNA, internal transcribed spacer 2, and large subunit ribosomal RNA
Source: RNAcentral
AACGCAACUUGCGCCAUGUAUAUGGCAUGUCUGUUUGAGUGCCGCAAAAGACUUGUGUAAUGCGUAUUGACGGUUGUCUGUGCAUCUGUGCGGACUCUGUCUAAAUGCAGCCAGCAAUGUCGUGGACUGUGACGGUCCGAGUGCUAAGCAUUCUUGGUCUGAUCACAACUGCGGCCGAGGGUGGGUGAUUGUGUGCAAACCAUACCAUCACUCCCUAUCCCCUCCCCUACUUACUAUUGGCCUCAAAUCAGGCAGGAUCACCCGCUGAACUUAA